This 1698-nucleotide unclassified non-coding RNA is filed under the name Hevea brasiliensis (rubber tree). Lineage: Eukaryota; Viridiplantae; Streptophyta; Magnoliopsida; Malpighiales; Euphorbiaceae. The record is from RNAcentral.
CUCUCUUUUUCUGUUUCUUUGUUCCUCUAUUGAGAUAUAGAUUAUCUCUUUUUUGCCGUUUCUUUGCAUCAUUUUGUUAUUAAUGGUGAUAUUACUUGCUCCUCAGAUACUUAGAUUUUUCAAUUUGAUGAAAUCUUGCUUAACAGCGAAGUCAAUUGAUGGAACCCAUAAUCAGAUUCAAUCUGGACAUGGGAAAUGUGGGACCUAGCAACACUGAAGCAAAUGUCUCAGAAUUGGAAGGUUUUAGCCGUUGCAUUGAUGAAUUGUUCUCAAAAGUUAAUGAGCUUGAGCAAGGGGUAAAUGUAGUUGAACAAUUCUCCAUGACUGCAGAUAACAAACAACACAACACUGAUAAAUGUAGCUCAAUUAUGAACGAUAAAAUCAGGGAAAAAUAUUUAGCCAACAUUGAGGAGCAAGAGCAACAUGUACCUCAGAGGGAAGUUGCUGGUGGAAAGAGAACGCAACUUAUGCAUCAGUUUGCAGGAAUAUUUCAUCAGAUCACGCAGCAUAAGUGGGCAUGGCCUUUCAUGCAGCCAGUAGAUGUUGUGGGUCUUGGUUUGCACGACUAUUAUGAGGUUAUUGAAAAGCCAAUGGACUUCGGUACAAUAAAAAAUAAGAUGGAGGCUAAGGAUGGCACUGGGUACAAGAAUGUCCGGGAAAUAUAUGCUGAUGUUAGGCUGGUUUUUAAGAAUGCAAUGAAAUACAAUGAUAAAAGAGAUGAUGUUCAUGUAAUGGCCAGAACUUUGUUGGAGAAGUUUGAAGAAAAAUGGCUGCAACUUUUGCCUAAAGUUGUUGAGGAGGAAAGAAGACAAGAAAAGGACAAAGUAGUGGUGGAGGCCGGCACUAAACUAGCUCAGGAGGUUUUACAUGCUAACAUGGCUAGGGAUUUAAGCAACGAGCUUUGUGAAGUUGAUACACAACUGGACAAACUCAGAAAAAUGGUAGUUCAGAAUUGCAGAAAAAUGUCUGUUGAAGAGAAAAAGAAAUUGGUGACAGCUCUCAAUCAAUUAUCUCCUGAAGAUCUGACUAGGGCACUGGAUAUAGUUGCUGCUGAUAAUCCAAGCUUCCAAGCAACAGCUGAAGAGGUGGAACUUGACAUGGAUGCUCAGAGUGAAUUGACACUUUGGAGGCUCAGGGUUUUCGUUAAAGAUGCUUUAAAAGUUAUGGGAAGUAAGUCCCUGGGCAUGAAUGGGAACAAUAACAAUGGUGAUGAAAACAAGGAUAUCAACAUCAAUAACAAGAAGAGCAAGAACGCCGUCACCACUGCCACCACGUACACCAACAACAAACGAAGAAGAGAGAUUUGUGAUGUUAUUACCAGAACAUCUACUAAGAAGACUAGGAGGAUCUCCCUCAUUUUAUGACCUACAAUUUCUGGAAGUUCUGCUUUUUCUUUUGUCAUUAUGUGAAGUUGUCUUAGAGUUGGGUAUGUUUUGGUAGCAACUAUAUACUUGAUAAUUGAUAUUGCUGUUUGAUAAGCUUUUGGUGGCAUGGGAAAAAUUUCCGAAGAUCCAAAAAUAUUAACUGAAAGCUUUUCUAAUGGAAAUUCUGAUACAGGUCAGAUGGAGAAGACGGACAAGUUCCGAUGCUUACUGGUGAGGCAUGAAAUAUGGACAAUUAGGGCUACUGGCGUAAAUGAGCUAAGUAGAAUAGCUCAAACUUGAUUCGAUUCUAAAAUUCGAAGUUUGAAAUUGGACU